RNAcentral lists this ribosomal RNA (660 nucleotides) under Salmonella enterica subsp. enterica. Its description in RNAcentral is "partial 23S ribosomal RNA". It matches the Rfam family "Bacterial large subunit ribosomal RNA", at positions 2261 to 2915 of the family's 2925-position model. Lineage: Bacteria; Pseudomonadati; Pseudomonadota; Gammaproteobacteria; Enterobacterales; Enterobacteriaceae. The record is from RNAcentral. RNAcentral also lists the same sequence under 1 other name.
GUGGGUAGUUUGACUGGGGCGGUCUCCUCCUAAAGAGUAACGGAGGAGCACGAAGGUUGGCUAAUCCUGGUCGGACAUCAGGAGGUUAGUGCAAUGGCAUAAGCCAGCUUGACUGCGAGCGUGACGGCGCGAGCAGGUGCGAAAGCAGGUCAUAGUGAUCCGGUGGUUCUGAAUGGAAGGGCCAUCGCUCAACGGAUAAAAGGUACUCCGGGGAUAACAGGCUGAUACCGCCCAAGAGUUCAUAUCGACGGCGGUGUUUGGCACCUCGAUGUCGGCUCAUCACAUCCUGGGGCUGAAGUAGGUCCCAAGGGUAUGGCUGUUCGCCAUUUAAAGUGGUACGCGAGCUGGGUUUAGAACGUCGUGAGACAGUUCGGUCCCUAUCUGCCGUGGGCGCUGGAGAACUGAGGGGGGCUGCUCCUAGUACGAGAGGACCGGAGUGGACGCAUCACUGGUGUUCGGGUUGUCAUGCCAAUGGCACUGCCCGGUAGCUAAAUGCGGAAGAGAUAAGUGCUGAAAGCAUCUAAGCACGAAACUUGCCCCGAGAUGAGUUCUCCCUGAGACUUAGAGUCUCCUGAAGGAACGUUGAAGACGACGACGUUGAUAGGCCGGGUGUGUAAGCGCAGCGAUGCGUUGAGCUAACCGGUACUAAUGAACCGUGAG